This 457-nucleotide ribosomal RNA is filed under the name uncultured bacterium. Its description in RNAcentral is "partial 16S ribosomal RNA". It matches the Rfam family "Bacterial small subunit ribosomal RNA", at positions 338 to 795 of the family's 1533-position model. The record is from RNAcentral.
CCUACGGGUGGCAGCAGUGGGGAAUAUUGCACAAUGGGGGAAACCCUGAUGCAGCGACGCCGCGUGAGUGAAGAAGUAUUUCGGUAUGUAAAGCUCUAUCAGCAGGGAAGAAAUAAAGUCCUUUGGACUUUGGACGGUACCUGACUAAGAAGCCCCGGCUAACUACGUGCCAGCAGCCGCGGUAAUACGUAGGUGGCAAGCGUUGGCCGGAAUUACUGGGUGUAAAGGGCGUGCAGCCGGGGGGACAAGUCAGAUGUGAAAUCCACGGGCUCAACCCGUGAACUGCAUUUGAAACUGUUUCCCUUGAGUGUCGGAGAGGUAAUCGGAAUUCCUUGUGUAGCGGUGAAAUGCGUAGAUAUAAGGAAGAACACCAGUGGCGAAGGCGGAUUACUGGACGAUAACUGACGGUGAGGCGCGAAAGCGUGGGGAGCAAACAGGAUUAGAUACCCGAGUAGUC